UGCAACUAACAACAACAACCCCGAGCAGCCGAAGUGAAGGAAGAAAGUUUUUAAUAAUUGAUAACGAAAAUGCCGUUUGAACGAGUCGCCGGCAGCUACUUUGCCACUGCGCCUUGUUGAGUUCGUGUUGCUAGUUCAGCCGUUCUGCCGUUCUGCCUUUCAAUCGUUCAGCUUAAUAGUCUGAUACUUCGUUGAAACAAAUAUCCAUCUUAGGUGGCUGCAAGGGGAGUGCUGAAUCUGUUCGCUUCAGUGUUGUGAUUCCACCAAGUCUGCUCCCACUCGUCACAUCAAUAACCCUGACAACUUCGCCAUAUGGGUUCUGCAAAGACUAUCGAACCAUUCUGGAGCUGGAUCGUGUAGUCUGGAUCAUGUUCAAAAAGAGAUGGCAACACUUCGGAACUGCUUCAGGCUUCUUCGUCUCCAACGGCUUUGCUUGGGCUGCUUUCACAGUGACAUUUUCCCCGCAUAAUGUGUUUCCGUGUAGUCCAUAUCUAAAUAUUCAAACCAACCAUUUGGCUAAGCUUUUGUUUGAAUGUAAGUGUUAGUGGCAUUUGAUUACAGUGAUCACAACUAUUUACUUGAGAUAUAAGAGAGCAAAGUACAAAAUGUAUUGGAUUAUAUCAGUGUAUCGAGGGGUUUCAUAUUGUUCUGAUGUGGCCAGAGAUAGUCAUAAAGAUGGUUUCUUAACAUUGGCUGGGUGAGUGCCCAUGUCACAUUGUCAAUUUUUUUGUCUCUCUGUCUUAUCUUGCUGCCCAGGACCUCCUGACUCUGUUGAACUUGGGGCAGAUAAAGAUUUAGUAAUAACCUCUUUUGUUUUAAUUAUUCAAGGGGAGUUGACAAUUUUUCCUGGCAAAGACACUCAAUUUCAGAUAAAAUUGUUUAUUCUGAACUAUGGUUUAUUUGUUUAGCAACUGUAGUCUUCAUUUAGUUCAAAGCUCCUUGCUUGGUAUUUUUUUUAAAAAUCAGAUGACAAGACUAUUAAUGGGAAGCUUGAAUUUCAUACCGGUAAUGCAACCGUUUUUAAGAUUUUUUUUGUGAAAGUUUGCCCUCAGAGUUUGAGCGACAGUAGUAACUUCACAGGAAUAAGCAUGGGUUCAUUUGGUUUGUUUCCAGGUGGGCUACAUUCUGACUCAGGAUUAUUUUGAAAUGUUUGUAAGAUAGCAUUUUUAGAACAGACUUUGUCAGUUUUGUAUCUGACUUUUGGAUAUAUUUAGUAUUUUAUGUGCAUGUUAAAUUACAGUGACAAUUCAUCUUAUCAUUCGCCUUUGGCUUUCACUAUGCUAAAUUAUAAAUUCGGUCUUAAGCUUCUGUAUUUAAAUUGGCAGCUCACCACAGUGAUAUUCAAAUGCAAUCUCAGGUGACAUUCAAGCAGUCCCGCCUUCUAAUGUCAAUCAGCAGCAGCCUUGACAAUCUUGACAUUUUUCCAUCAUCGCUUAAAUGCUAAGGCUAUUCGCACUGUUCUUUAUGCCUUUUUAUUUGUUGGGCUGGUUGUAACUUUUAUAUGGGAGACAGUCCUCAUGUAUCACUUCUGUUAUAUUUCUGUUCAUUUCAUUAGCCGCAGUGUGUUAAAAUGAGUGCAAUUUAUUUACCAUGUUGGGAUCUGUUCAUAGUACUGGUCUCUGCAGUGCGAAAGGCCCAAUACAGCUUCAAA
Molecule: long non-coding RNA, 1651 nt
Organism: Thrips palmi
Lineage: Eukaryota; Metazoa; Arthropoda; Insecta; Thysanoptera; Thripidae
Exons: 3
Source: RefSeq, a predicted model, not a curated record